Molecule: ribosomal RNA, 427 nt
Filed under: uncultured bacterium
Lineage: Bacteria
Description: partial 16S ribosomal RNA
Rfam family: Bacterial small subunit ribosomal RNA
Source: RNAcentral
UGGGGAAUAUUGGACAAUGGGCGAAAGCCUGAUCCAGCCAUGCCGCGUGUGUGAAGAAGGUCUUCGGAUUGUAAAGCACUUUAAGUUGGGAGGAAGGGCAUUAACCUAAUACGUUAGUGUUUUGACGUUACCGACAGAAUAAGCACCGGCUAACUCUGUGCCAGCAGCCGCGGUAAUACAGAGGGUGCAAGCGUUAAUCGGAAUUACUGGGCGUAAAGCGCGCGUAGGUGGUCUGUUAAGUUGGAUGUGAAAUCCCCGGGCUCAACCCGGGAACUGCAUUCAAAACUGACUGACUAGAGUAUGGUAGAGGGUGGUGGAAUUUCCUGUGUAGCGGUGAAAUGCGUAGAUAUAGGAAGGAACACCAGUGGCGAAGGCGACCACCUGGACUAAUACUGACACUGAGGUGCGAAAGCGUGGGGAGCAAACA